AUGAAAAUAGCAAUAUAUGAUAAUUUAUCAGUGGUCAUCUUCUUCGCACCACCUCUUGAGCAUAUUACUUGGAUUAUUUUGAUUACUAUUCUAACCUCUCGCCUCUGUCACUUGGUUCCAGCCUUCCAGGGCACGACCGACUGCGGUUUCGAGAUCUUGAUGCUGAACAAAAAAAAGGAUAGGAUCAACCAAGAACUCCACCACUGGAUAGUACCAUCAACAUGCCCUCAAUUUGACAGUAGAGUGAUGGCCGAACAUCGAUUAGCAGUUUACCUUGGUUUCUCUGAACAUUUCAUACAAUUGUAUACAGUUUCCUUGAGAAUGGCCAUUCAGUUUAAAGUAGUGCUAAGUGAUCAACCCUUCUUUGGGACUUGA
This 375-nucleotide ribosomal RNA is filed under the name Triticum aestivum (bread wheat). RNAcentral describes it as "partial small subunit ribosomal RNA". Lineage: Eukaryota; Viridiplantae; Streptophyta; Magnoliopsida; Poales; Poaceae. The record is from RNAcentral.